UUAGGAGAGAGAUAGACGACUCUGAUCACUGUUUGAUUUUUGCAUUCAAAUAAAUUAAAAGAGAAAUAUACAAAAUCUAAAAAAAUUAAAAUAGAAAUAUAAUAAUAGCCCCUCAAUGGCUCCUAUGAACCACACCCUAUGCAUGCAUAUCUCAACUAAUACUCCCAACUCCUCCCCCAUGAAUAAUGUAUUAUUAUCUCCAUUUUACAGAAGAAGAAACUGAGGUUCUAAGAAGAUAUUGUAAUUUUACCGAGGACACAGAAUUAAUAACUGGUUAAGUCAUGACUCGAACCCCGUUCUAGUUGGACCCUGGAGUGCGUAUCCUUAAUUAGUGUGCUCCAUUGCUUCCCUUUCUGCAGGUGCUUUCUCAGUUUGUGGAAGCUCCCGAGCUCCUCCUACUCCAUAGCAUCCUAGUGAUGGUGCGUCUCACGGUACCAACCUGAAGAGUCAGUGAGCCAAGGAAGGUUUUUGUCUUCUAAAUACUGAAUGUGUAACCUAGAUGGAAGCCCAGAACAUAGCUUCAAGCUUGUUUCCAUGAAAAGGUCAUUCCAGGAUUCUUGUUGCUUGCCACAUAGCCUCUGUGAUGAAGUACUGUUGUCGUUGCUUCCUGGGAACCACAGGUGGGAGGGCUUUUUGGCAUUCUCUGUCACAGUCUAAGGACUCAGUUUCCCCAAAUUGCAUGCCUUGCUCUUCCAAAUGGAAAAGUCCUCUCUUCACACUCAUUAUCAGAAGAUUUCACACGAGGUGUUCAGAUACCUCUCACUCACACAUAUUCCAAGUGAUGAGACAAGGAACUAUUUGCCAAAGGGAAAAUAUCGUGUGGUUUUCUGUUCUCAUCGCCAAAAAUAAUUUCCAGAGGAGACUGUUUUUAAUUUCUUGUUUUAAUUUCCAUUUGGGCAUGACGAACAGUCUUCAAAAGCUAUGUCAUUGGAGAUUCUAAACCCAAAGGGAGAAGGCUUGCCUGGGCAACCUUAAUAUGAUUCGGAUACCACCCGUAUUUCAUCUUCCAGCUCACUGCCCUUUUUACAUGCAUUUUCUCAUGCUGGCUUCCACACCAACGCUGUGGGCAGACAAAGCCAGCAAUUGCUAUCGCUGUCUGUUGAUGCAUAGGAUCUGAGAUCUGAUUCAGCUACGAUGAAGAGUUAGCUGGUGGUACAGUUGGGACAUAAACCGAAAUCUUUGUACAUGUCGCUUUGGUGUUCACCAUUGCACGUCACAGGCUGCUUCCUUAUCACCCUCCUUAGUUGCUAUUCAUCGUCAGCUGUCUUCAGCUCUUCAUGGGUAUGUGUAUUCUCUGUCCAACUAUUAGGUUGGUGCGAAAGUAAUUGCCAUUUUGCCAUUGAAAUAAAAAUAGACUAAAAUAAAAUUUGAGUCUAAAGACAAUAACUAUGUCUAAUAUACCUGCUGUUCCCACAAAGCCUUAAAUACUCAAUAAAUAUUUGUUGGUUAGGCUUUUAUUGUGCAAAGAAUGAGAGUCAUAAAGGUAUUUUAUUUGUAUACCGUGAAAUCUAUAUCAAACUGAAUAUUUAGAUCCUUCUUUCAUAUAAAGGAAAAACAUAUCAGGACUGAAAUUUUUUCAAAUUUAUUUUAAAUGGAAAAAUGUCAAUUCAGGGCAGACUCAUUUCCUAUUCUAUAUCCAUUGUGGGUUUAGAUUAUAAUUUUGGAUGACAUCGAAAAGACUGGGGUGUUUUGCUGUUUUCCUUUGCUAAAUGACAUGAUUUGGGUACAAGUAAAAUUGUGUUUCUGUGGGUUUGCCUCCAUAUUUACUCGCUGCCUGAGUCCCAUUUUCCAGUGUUUCAUAGUCUGGAGAGGAAGUGUGGUCUAGUGGUCAGAAAAACAGUUUAGAAGGCUAGCAUCAUGGUUUCUAUUCCUGUCUCACUCCCUGACUCAUUGUAAGAUCUUCAGGGAGUUAGUUAAGCAUUUUGAGCCUCAGUUUAUCCAUUUUUUUCCUACCUAGAGAUGUUGCUCAGAAAUAAUCAGAUAAUCAAACAGUGUAAAAUAAAAAAUGAGGUUGGCUAUAAAAAGAAAUAAUGCUACAUACAUACAAAGCUUCAUGUAAUGAGUAGUAGGGGCUACAGAAGGAAAACAGGAUCCUCUAAUUAGUUUGCCAGCUGAAAGGAGUCGUCAAAGGCCCUUCUAGUAAGCACUGAUUCCACUGGUUAUGGGCACUAACUGGGAUAGUACCUGGAAAACAAUGUGUAAUGGGAAGAAAAUCAAGGAACUGGGAAUCUAGGGAAGAGGAGUGUUGGGAAUUGGGGGUCUUUCUCCUGACCUCCAAGGGAAAAUGUAAGUGAGCAGAAACACUCAAAUUUCGCUUGGAGUUCACACUCUUAGGCAUAGCAAUAGACCUUCAUAGAAGAUUCCAUUUGAUCAGGCUACAAAUUCAAGAUCAACUUGAAAUCUUGGCUUCUCUUCACCCAUCACUCUUUCCAUGUUAUCCAUCCUCUAGAAGAAAAGCUACAGUGGAUGUUAUUUCUUGUUGAGUUAAAAAGGGAAGCAUAUGCAAAACAAAAAUUAAAGCCGCUCCAGGGGCUGGGCACGAAUUACAGGUGGCUCACACCUGUAAUCCCAGCACUUUGGGAGGCCAAGGCGGGUGGAUCACUUGAGGUCAGGAGUUCCAGACCAGCCUGGCCAACAUGGCAAAACCCC
This 2649-nucleotide long non-coding RNA is filed under the name Homo sapiens (human). RNAcentral describes it as "HSALNT0084816". Lineage: Eukaryota; Metazoa; Chordata; Mammalia; Primates; Hominidae. The record is from RNAcentral.